UCCCUGGUGGCUCAGAUGGUAAAGCGUCUGCCUACAAUGCGGGAGACCCGGGUUCAAUCCCUGGGUUGGGAA
Molecule: non-coding RNA, 72 nt
Organism: Bos taurus (domestic cattle)
Lineage: Eukaryota; Metazoa; Chordata; Mammalia; Artiodactyla; Bovidae
Source: Rfam